UACCGAGGAUGCGAGCGUUAUCCGGAUUUAUUGGGUUUAAAGGGUGCGCAGGCGGCACGGCAAGCCGGCGGUCAAAUCGCGGGGCUCAACCCCGCCCAGCCGUCGGAACUGCCGGGCUAGAGUGGGCGAGAAGUGCGCGGAAUGCGUGGUGUAGCGGUGAAAUGCAUAGAUAUCACGCAGAACUCUGAUUGCGAAGGCAGCGCACCGGCGCCCUACUGACGCUCAGGCACGAAAGCGUGGGUAUCGAACAGG
RNAcentral lists this ribosomal RNA (252 nucleotides) under uncultured bacterium. RNAcentral describes it as "partial 16S ribosomal RNA". It matches the Rfam family "Bacterial small subunit ribosomal RNA", at positions 524 to 776 of the family's 1533-position model. The record is from RNAcentral.